RNAcentral lists this ribosomal RNA (253 nucleotides) under uncultured bacterium. RNAcentral's name for it is "partial 16S ribosomal RNA". It matches the Rfam family "Bacterial small subunit ribosomal RNA", at positions 524 to 776 of the family's 1533-position model. The record is from RNAcentral.
UACGUAGGGUGCAAGCGUUGUCCGGAAUUAUUGGGCGUAAAGAGCUCGUAGGCGGUUUGUCGCGUCUGCUGUGAAAACCCGAGGCUCAACCUCGGGCCUGCAGUGGGUACGGGCAGACUAGAGUGCGGUAGGGGAGAUUGGAAUUCCUGGUGUAGCGGUGAAAUGCGUAGAUAUCAGGAGGAACACCGGUGGCGAGGGCGGGUCUCUGGGCCGAUACUGACGCUGAGGAGCGAAAGCGUGGGGAGCGAACAGG